Paramuricea clavata is the source of this 422-nucleotide non-coding RNA. Lineage: Eukaryota; Metazoa; Cnidaria; Anthozoa; Malacalcyonacea; Plexauridae. The record is from the annotation of a GenBank genome assembly.
GCUGGCCGAGGCAAUUUUAGAGGACAAACUUGUCGAAUUUUGGCCUGAAUAUAAAUGUUUAUACGAUGUGAGUUCUGCAGAUUUUAGAAAUAGGGACAAAAGGGAAUGUGCGGUGAAAGAAAUAGUCAGUAAGUUUGUCCUCUAAAAUUGCCUCGGCCAGUAAUUCAUUUUGCGCCGCCAUCUUGGAUGUUUACUUUCGUAUACUACGCAUGCGCUGUUACGACAAUCCGUAAGCAGAUAGCUUUCGUUCGCCGCACACGGAAAGAUUUUGGCGCGCGAGGCAGAAAUUAUCAAACAUGUUAGAUAUUUGGCGUAAGUGGCACGAAUGACAAAAGUCGUUCGUAAAUCGCCCGCACACGAGAGCUAUCUCCUUACGCCAACAGUCACGAAUGACAUUUUGCUAAGCACAUAGCUCUAGUGUG